UUGCUACCACUAUACCUCUUUGAAACGGGGUUUAUUUUUCAAGCAUGACAGAAGCAUGCAAUUUUCUUCAAACUGAAUUUAUUUUCACCAACUCAAUAGAUCUUAAACCGAACUCUGUUUAAUAACUCUAAAUAUUCUCCUUCAUGUAUACAAGCUUCUCAGCUACAAGUUAUAGAGCUAUCUCUUAAUUUAUCACCUGAGAUCACCACAGUUGUACAUCUUAUUUCAUUUAUUUUCAAUUCAGUCAUGGAAAGCUUAUGCCAGAAGGUGAUCAAGGAUGAUCCUUUGAACUGGAAUACGACGGCAGAGACGAUGACCGGAAGCCAUCUUGAUGAAGUGAAGAGGAUGGUGGAGGAGUUCAGGAAGCCUGUUGUCAGGUUAGAAGGUGCCAACUUGAAGGUCUCUCAGGUAGCUGCAGUGGCUGCUGCUGCUGCUGCUGCUGCCAUUGAUGAUGAUGAUGAUGAUGAUGGAGUAGUAGUGAAGGUGGAGCUAUCAGAAGAGGCAAGGGCAAGGGUGAAAGCCAGCAGUGAUUGGGUUAUGAACAAUGAGGGUGUAAUCACUGGCUUUGGUGCAUCAUCUCACAGGAGAACCAAUCAGGCUACUGCUCUUCAGCAGGAGCUUAUCAGAUUUCUUAAUGCAGGAAUUUUCAGCACCGGGCAAGAGCCAAACAAUAUGAUGCCAAGUGCAGUAACAAGAGCUGCAAUGUUGGUUAGAAUCAACAGCCUUCUGCAAGGUUAUUCAGGCAUCCGUUUUGAAAUCUUAGAAGCAAUCACAAGACUUAUCAACACUAACAUCACACCAUGUUUGCCACUCAGAGGCAGCAUCACUGCUUCUGGUGAUCUCAUCCCUUUAUCCUACAUUGUCGGACUGCUAAUUGGCCGGCCUAACUCAAGAGCCAUUGGUCCUGAUGGCCGAACAAUUGAUGCUUCUAAGGCCUUUGAACUUGCUGGAAUCUCUAGUGGCUUUUUCGAGCUGCAACCGAAGGAAGGAAUCGCGCUUGUUAAUGGCACAACUGUUGCUUCUGGAUUAGCUUCCAUGGUCUUAUAUGAUGCUAACUUACUUGCAAUUCUUUCAGAAAUCAUUUCAGCUAUGUUUUGUGAAGUUAUGUUAGGAAAUCCAGAGUACACUGACCAUCUCAUUCAUAAAUUGAAACACAGUCCAGGCCAGAUUGAAGCAGCAGCCAUAAUGGAACAUAUAUUGGAAGGUAGCUCAUACAUGAAGAUCAAUCAAUUACUCCAAAAUCCCAAGAAAGACCGGUAUGCUCUUCGUACUUCUCCUCAAUGGGUCGGUCCUCAGAUUGAAGUCAUACGUGCAGCAACAAAAUCCAUUGAGAGGGAGAUCAACUCUGUGAAUGACAACCCAUUGAUUGAUGUCUCAAGAAAUAAGGUUCUCUUUGGUGGUAACUUUCAGGGGACACCAAUUGGUGUCUCAAUGGACAACACUCGUCUGGCUCUUGCUGCUAUUGGGAAGCUUAUGUUUGCUCAGUUUUCAGAGCUUGUUAAUGAUUUCUACAACAAUGGUUUACCUUCCAAUCUCUCAGGUGGAAGGAAUCCAAGCUUAGACUAUGGACUCAAAGGUGGUGAAAUUGCUAUGGCUUCGUACUGCUCGGAGCUUCAAGCUCUGGCCAACCCUGUCACUAAUCAUGUCGAGAGUGCAGAGCAACACAACCAAGAUGUCAACUCUUUGGGUUUGAUUUCUGCCAGGAAAACAGCAGAAGCAAUAGAGAUACUAAAGCUCAUGUCAUCCACUUUCUUAGUUGGUCUUUGUCAAGCCAUUGAUCUGAGGCAUUUGGAGGAAAAUUUCAAGAAAACUAUAAUGAGCACUGUGAGCCAAGUGGCUAAGAAAGUGGGUGUUGCUAAUGAAGAGAAGGAUUUAAUCAAAGUCAUUAACAAGGAACAUGUCUUCUCUUACAUAGAUGAUCCUUGCAAUAACUCCUACCCAUUGAUGCAAAAGCUAAGGCAAGUUCUUGUUGAGCAUGCAAUAAAAAACAUCAGUACUUGGGAGAAUGAAAAGAUUGUGCUUUUUGAAGAGGAGUUGAAACUGGUUUUACCAAAAGAAGCAGAAAGUACAAGGAUUGCUUUUGAGAAUGGAAACUUUGCUGUGAAUAAUAGGAUUAAGGAGUGUAGAUCUUACCCUCUUUACAGGUUUGUAAGGGAAGAACUCAAUACUGAACUUCUGACAGGUGAGAAUACAACAACAACAACAGCAACAACACCAGGGGAGGAUUUCAGCAAAGUUUUCAAUGCCAUCUCUAGUGGAAAGAUUAUAGACCCAUUGCUAGAAUGCUUGAAGGAUUGGAAUGGUGUUCCCAUGCCAUUGUGCUAGAAAGAAAUUAAGAAGAGUCUCCAAAUAGCUACUCUGUUUAUGACAAACAUUAUGACCUGAUUGAUGAGCUAGCUUGCGCCUACAUGGACAAGUGGGAUGCGAUGACCUAGGCGGGGUCAUUUUCGUAAUUUUUUCUAAAGGGGUAAUUUUGGUGUUCAGAGGACCCCAUUAGAUGGAAAACAGGUCAACAAGCAAAAGUCACGAGUUUGCUGCGAAAUUUUGCCGUUUAUGGAAAGAUUUCCUCCAUCGAUAUCUUAGGCUGUAGAUCUCUGAUUGAGACGUCGUUUUUGGUAUUCGCUAUGUUUGAUUUUUAAUUUUU
RNA transcript from Dioscorea cayenensis subsp. rotundata (Guinea yam), 2644 nucleotides. It is a transcript of the gene named phenylalanine ammonia-lyase 1-like, with no coding region annotated. The transcript is spliced from 3 exons. Lineage: Eukaryota; Viridiplantae; Streptophyta; Magnoliopsida; Dioscoreales; Dioscoreaceae. The record is from RefSeq and is a predicted model, not a curated record.